UAACACGUGAGCAACCUGCCUUUCANAGGGGGAUAACAGUUGGAAACGACUGCUAAUACCGCAUAACGCUGCGAUGGGGCAUCCCGAUGCAGCCAAAGGAGCAAUCCGCUGAAAGAUGGUCUCGCGGCCGAUUAGCUAGUUGGUGGGGCAACGGCCCACCAAGGCGACGAUCGGUAGCCGGACUGAGAGGUUGAUCGGCCACAUUGGGACUGAGAUACGGCCCAGACUCCUACGGAAGGCAGCAG
This 245-nucleotide ribosomal RNA is filed under the name uncultured bacterium. RNAcentral describes it as "partial 16S ribosomal RNA". It matches the Rfam family "Bacterial small subunit ribosomal RNA", at positions 111 to 354 of the family's 1533-position model. The record is from RNAcentral.